Molecule: ribosomal RNA, 429 nt
Filed under: uncultured bacterium
Lineage: Bacteria
Description: bacterial SSU rRNA
Rfam family: Bacterial small subunit ribosomal RNA
Source: RNAcentral
UGGGGAAUAUUGGACAAUGGGCGCAAGCCUGAUCCAGCCAUGCCGCGUGAGUGAAGAAGGCCUUCGGGUUGUAAAGCUCUUUUGUUGGGAAAGAAAAGCUUUCGGUUAAUAACCGGGAGUUCUGACGGUACCCAAAGAAUAAGCACCGGCUAACUUCGUGCCAGCAGCCGCGGUAAUACGAAGGGUGCAAGCGUUACUCGGAAUUACUGGGCGUAAAGCGUGCGUAGGUGGUGGUUUAAGUCUGAUGUGAAAGCCCUGGGCUCAACCUGGGAAUGGCAUUGGAAACUGGAUCACUGGAGUGCGGUAGAGGAUGGCGGAAUUCCCGGUGUAGCAGUGAAAUGCGUAGAGAUCGGGAGGAACAUCCGUGGCGAAGGCGGCCAUCUGGACCAGCACUGACACUGAGGCACGAAAGCGUGGGGAGCAAACAGG